AAUUAGUGAACUUGAAUAAGUAUAUAUUUUGAAAAUAUAUUAUAGAAAUAGGAAUUUUCUACUAAUUU
Molecule: transfer RNA, 68 nt
Filed under: Erotylidae sp. BMNH 1274780
Lineage: Eukaryota; Metazoa; Arthropoda; Insecta; Coleoptera; Erotylidae
Description: tRNA-Ser
Source: RNAcentral